ACAACUUUAGCUCAACUGGUAGAGCUAGUUGGUAGAUGUAUUAGGCACACAUUUCUAAUUGAUGUAGGUUCGAGCCCUGCAAGUUGUA
Molecule: transfer RNA, 88 nt
Filed under: Lactococcus cremoris
Lineage: Bacteria; Bacillati; Bacillota; Bacilli; Lactobacillales; Streptococcaceae
Also listed under: 3 other names
Description: tRNA-OTHER
Rfam family: tRNA
About the family: Transfer RNA (tRNA) molecules are approximately 80 nucleotides in length.
Source: RNAcentral